AACAAUUAUUAAUAAAAAAUUAAAUUUUUCACCUUUUCUUCGAGUAAUUAAUCUGAUUAAUAUAGUAAUAAUAAAUCAUAUUCAAAUUUUUUGUUGCAAUAAUCAUUGAUAGUUCCAUCAUAACGAAGGACUCUUGAUGAACAAUCAAGUGGUACAUCACAACAAGAAAAAAUGGUAAUCAUCAUUUUGGAGUACUAUAGUGAUAAGAAGAUUUUAGAGGGAUUUUAUUGAUAAAUCUAUUAUUGAUCAAAAGAUACCAUUAAUUAUGUUUGAUUAUGUUUAUUUAAUUAUCUCUCGAGAAGACUCGAUUUGAAUGUUUUGGUGGAGUUGAAGAAUCAUCAUCACAAACAAUUGUUUUAAAAAAGAAUCAUCAUAACAAAACAGUUUUAAAACGUCAUUCAGACUACAAUACUGUUAUCAAAACCAUGUUAGACAUCCAGCUGCGAUCACGUUAAUCAAUACGUUGUUACUUACUCCAUAUUUCCAUAAUAAUAAAAAAUCAAAGGAUCAAUUGAGAAUUUACUUAAAAUGAGGCCAAAAAAAAUAUGUGUUGAGAAGGAUCAACAAAUUUCUGAUGAUGUUGACAAGAAUAGAAAAAAAGUUGUCAUCAAUUCACUGGAUUACGAGUUAUUAGCAAAAAUCAUCAUGUUGUUGCCAGUACCAGAAAGGAUAGAAAUGGAAAAAGUUUGUACUAAAUGGAAAGAGGCAUGUCAACUAGC
Molecule: unclassified non-coding RNA, 719 nt
Filed under: Aphidius gifuensis
Lineage: Eukaryota; Metazoa; Arthropoda; Insecta; Hymenoptera; Braconidae
Description: f-box/LRR-repeat protein 2-like, transcript variant X3
Source: RNAcentral